Long non-coding RNA from Aethalodelphis obliquidens (Pacific white-sided dolphin), 2273 nucleotides. RefSeq lists it as uncharacterized. NCBI's taxonomy places the organism in Eukaryota, Metazoa, Chordata, Mammalia, Artiodactyla, Delphinidae. The record is from RefSeq and is a predicted model, not a curated record. The transcript is spliced from 2 exons.
AGGCCACAACAGUGAGAGGCCCGCGUACCACAAAAAAAAAAAAAAAAAAAAAAAAGAGUCAAUUUGAAAUUAUAGCUCAAUGGAUAAAGCACGUGGGAACUGGUGUCCAGGUGGAUGAGUGCACAUUUUAGUCAACUUUUCCUGGUAUUUCCCACAGCUUCUAGCCUAGUGAUCUUCACACAGGAGGAGCUCAACAAUCACAGAUCACAACAAAUUCAUUGUAGCCUCAUCGAAUUCUGUGGUGGAUGGAAUACAUCAUAUAUUUCCAGACCUAACUAUGAUUGCUAUCAGUGCAUGUAAGGAAAGAGGCAGGGCAAGAAGGUGGAGAGAGCAUGCGGCUGGGAGUCGAAACUAGAAAUGUCCUGGGCCCUUGCCUGCCAGAUGACUUUGGGCAAAUCACUCCAGUAAUCUCUAGGAAUCAAUCACUGAUCUGUCUAGCCAAAGGGUUGUUGAACGGGUCAACUGGAAGUAACAUGCUGCAAACUAUAAAGUAUUGUACACAAAUCAGAUAUUCGUAUUGUUAUUGCUAUUGUACUUUCAAACAGGGAAUGUGAGUGUCAGGAUUUAAGUGACCCGUCCAAGAAAAGAAUCCUAAAGUGAAACCCCAUCCUUGGCCAUAUCCUCUGCGCUUCUCAAGUUAAGGGAAAAGUUGAUGCUCUUAAAACACAGUAGAAAGCAAGCCUUGAACGAGCUAUUCUAGGCAAUUUAGAAGCCAAUAAUAUGAAGCUUGCAAGCUACUUAACUUAUGGGAGCCUCUGUUUCCUAUUUGUUGUCGGGAAUCCAUUUGUUGGACAACAAAAUGUUAAUAUACAAAGUACCUGCGUCCUGUGUGCCGUGGCUCGUGUGAGGCAUCAGGACCCACGCAGAGCAGAGAGGAACAAGUCUGCAGAGCCUUCAGGACUGAGGCAAUGGAAAGGCCAUCCUAGAGGAUGACAGAAGGAAGCCCCGAGGCCUUGGUGGUCUCUACCACAAUCUUGUUCAGUGGGCAGCGGGGUCACAGAUUCAUCUGACUGCUGGGAAGUCGUCUGGCUAAUGUCAAAGUCAUGUUUUACCAUUGCAGGAAAUGUUUCCAUUUGAUAAGCAGGUGGUGUAGAAGCGGUGAUGGGAUGUCUUUAUUUUGCUGCUGGAACAGAAAUUUGAUUGGACGUUUUUGAGUGUCACCCUAUGUAUUAGCUCUGUCUUCGGCUUGGGGGAAUCCAACCACGAGGGGGACACAGUCCCAGCCCUCAAGGGGUUUAUAGUCCUAGACUCAGGCUAGGGAGCUGUUGUAUAAACAAGCCCUGUCGAGGGGUAGAAGGUUACAGGUCCACGAGGGACACCAGGCAACCUGCUGAUGCUUUCAUUUUCGAUGGAUGUCUACAGGGAGAAAACAGGCUGGUAUUCUCCUUCAUGAGGCUCUGACGGAACGGAACCUCUGAAUCUGUGAGACUGAGGACCGCACCCUGAGCCAUGAUGAAUUCACCAGGUAAACGCCACUUUGUAAAGGGGAAAAAAGUGCCAACUCACCUACCUGAGAAGUUAGGAAGGGGAUGAUAGGUCCCUUCUGGGAAGCUGGGCUCCAGUGUCUCAAAUGAGGGUGUCAGGGCUCUCCCGCCUUUGUCUGCAAAGCCCCAGUUGGGUGCCUCUGUGUGUGACAGCUGGCUCACAGGGGGUGACAGAUUGCAGUCCCUAAAGAAGGCAGUGUCUGCACCGAUUGCUCUAGCAAACUCCCUGGAGGGCUCUGGCCACCCUGGAGUCAGGGACUCCCCCUGCAGCCAGCCCCAUCCAAACUGAGGUAGGAGAUAGAUGGGCCCCCCUGGGCUGAGCAGCUGGGGAGCUCGUCAAACAGAGUAAAUUGGAGCUCUAUUUUCACUAAACACGCCAAGGACAAAGUUAAUAGCAGAAGCUGAGCUCUGCUGGAGUAAAGAGCUCGGGGGACCACAUCUAUGACUCCUGAGGUCAAGGAGACCUCCCCGACUGCACAUGUGCAGGGAGGCUCCUCUGGGGUCAAAAGGGGAGGGAGCGCCAUCCCACAGUAGGUGUUGUCAACCUCCCCGUAAGCCUCCACGCCGGAAUCCAUCUUGGCAAAAAGAUGUGCACGCAUAUUGUGCGGAGGGCCCUAAAGACAGCUCGGAUGUGGGAAAAGAAGCGGGCUAAUUGACCAGAAGAGAACAAAGACCAGGAAGAACUGCAUCACCUCUCUGGCAGGCUUCUCAUUCGGGACACACACACUCUUCUCUGGGUGUGUAUUUCUGCCUUGCUUUUGUCUUAAAUAAACAUACCGUGUCUCUGUG